AUAUUUUUACACUUAAGUUACUUUAUUUCAUUAAAAUAUAAAUAUUCUUUGGUUUAGAAUUCUAAAACAUGGCUUUAAAUAAACCAUUAAAUGAAUUUAAAAAAAAUAUAAACUAAAAAUAUCACAGUCAACUACAUCAGGCUACAUAACCUCUUCUGUGCAAUGUUUUUUGUUAAUUAAGUAAAUCUCCAACAACGAUAUUAUACGGAUGGGGUGGAGAAA
Long non-coding RNA from Chrysoperla carnea, 222 nucleotides. RefSeq lists it as uncharacterized. The transcript is spliced from 2 exons. NCBI's taxonomy places the organism in Eukaryota, Metazoa, Arthropoda, Insecta, Neuroptera, Chrysopidae. The record is from RefSeq and is a predicted model, not a curated record.